This 496-nucleotide ribosomal RNA is filed under the name uncultured bacterium. Its description in RNAcentral is "partial 16S ribosomal RNA". It matches the Rfam family "Bacterial small subunit ribosomal RNA", at positions 28 to 507 of the family's 1533-position model. The record is from RNAcentral.
GAUGAACGCUGGCGGCGUGCCUAAUACAUGCAAGUCGAGCGAACAGACGAGGAGCUUGCUCCUCUGACGUUAGCGGCGGACGGGUGAGUAACACGUGGAUAACCUACCUAUAAGACUGGGAUAACUUCGGGAAACCGGAGCUAAUACCGGAUAAUAUAUUGAACCGCAUGGUUCAAUAGUGAAAGACGGUUUUGCUGUCACUUAUAGAUGGAUCCGCGCCGCAUUAGCUAGUUGGUAAGGUAACGGCUUACCAAGGAACGAUGCGUAGCCGACCUGAGAGGGUGAUCGGCCACACUGGAACUGAGACACGGUCCAGACUCCUACGGGAGGCAGCAGUAGGGAAUCUUCCGCAAUGGGCGAAAGCCUGACGGAGCAACGCCGCGUGAGUGAUGAAGGUCUUCGGAUCGUAAAACUCUGUUAUUAGGGAAGAACAAAUGUGUAAGUAACUAUGCACGUCUUGACGGUACCUAAUCAGAAAGCCACGGCUAACUACGUG